GAUGCAGUAAAACGCAUUGGAGGACCGAACCUACUAAUGUUGCAAUAUUAGAGGAUGAGUUGUGGCUAGGAGUGAAAGGCUAAUCAAACCUGGAUAUAGCUGGUUCUCCGCGAAAUCUAUUUAAGUAGACCGUCAUGUUAAAUACUACCGGGGGUAGAGCACUGAAUAAGCUAGGGGGGUGAAUAACUUUACCAAACUUAACCAAACUCCGAAUACCGGUGUGUAGUUUCAUGGCAGACACACUGCAGGUGCUAAGAUCUGUAGUGAAGAGGGAAAGAGCCCAGACCGUAGUAUAAGGUCCCUAAAUUAUGACUAAGUGCAUAGUAAGGAAGUGGAAAGACCAAGACAGCUAGGAAGUAGGCUUAGAAGCAGCCACCUUUUAAAGAAAGCGUAACAGCUCACUAGUCUAAUUAAGUUUUUCUGCGCCGGUAAUGUACGGGGCUUAAGUCAUAUACCGAAGACACGGGUGUUAUUCGAAUACUCUUUAGUUAAGUUUGUAUCUUUGAUAUUUAAUGUAUCUAUUAAGUUAUAUCUUUUUAAUUAAAUUGUUUAAUUAUAAUUUGUAUCAAAAAGGCAGCGAAUAAUGCGGUAGCGGAGCGUUCUGUAAGUCUGUGAAGGUGUUCCGGGAGGAAUGCUGGAGAUAUCAGAAGUGAGAAUGUUGACAUGAGUAGCGAUAAAGAGUGUGAAAAACACUCUCGCCGUAAACCCAAGGUUUCCUGCGUCAAGUUAAUCUGCGCAGGGUUAGUCGGUACCUAAGGCGAGGCCAAAAGGAGUAGUCGAUGGAAAUCAGGUUAAUAUUCCUGAACCUGUGAGUAGUGACGAGUCUGUGAAUCAUCUUUUCUUAUUGGAUUGGAAGGGUGGCUAAAAGGCUCCAGGAAAUAGCUCUCACAUUAAGGCCGUACCGUAAACCGACACAGGUGGGUGGGUAUAGCAUACUAAGGCGCUUGAGAGAACGAUGUUGAAGGAACUCGGCAAAAUACAUCUGUAACUUAGGGAUAAAGAUGGUCAUUAUUUGGGCAACCAGAUAGUGAUGGCACAUAAGAGGGAGUGGCGACUGUUUAUUAAAAACACAGGGCUCUGCUAACACGUAAGUGGAUGUAUAGGGCCUGACGCCUGCCCGGUGCUGGAAGGUUAAGAGGAGGAGUGCAAGCUUUAAAUUGAAGCCCCAGUAAACGGCGGCCGUAACACUGACGGUCCUAAGGUAGCGAAAUUCCUUGUCGGGUAAGUUCCGACCCGCAUGAAUGGCGUAACGAUCACUUCGCUGUCUCCAACAUCGACUCAGCGAAAUUGAAUUCCUCGUGAAGAUGCGAGGUUACCGCGGUUAGACGAAGAGACCCCGUGCACCUUUACUAUAGCUUUAUAUUGGUAUUAAGUUUUUGAUGUGCAGGAUAGGUGGGAAACUAUGAAGGUAAGUCGUCAGAUUUACUGGAGUUGUCCUUGAGAUACCACCCUUUAAGAAUUUGAUAUCUAACCAGGUUCCAUUAUCUGGAAUUGGGACAUUGUAU
This 1505-nucleotide ribosomal RNA is filed under the name Girardia dorotocephala. Its description in RNAcentral is "bacterial LSU rRNA". It matches the Rfam family "Bacterial large subunit ribosomal RNA", at positions 750 to 2259 of the family's 2925-position model. The record is from RNAcentral. Lineage: Eukaryota; Metazoa; Platyhelminthes; Tricladida; Dugesiidae.